GCAUAUCAAUAAGCGGAGGAAAAGAAAAUAACAAUGAUUCCCCUAGUAUCUGCGAGUGAAGAGGGACAAGCUCAAAUUUUAAAUCUGUCGGGUUCUACCUGACCGAGUUGUAAUUUGAAGAGGCGUUUUCUGUGUUUCUAAUCAGUCCAAGUCCUUUGGGAUAAGACAUCACGGAGGGUGAGAAUCCCGUUCGGUUGAUCAGAUUCGCUUUAUGAUACGUCAUCAAAGAGUCAAGUUGUUUGGGAUUGCAGCUUAAAAUGGGAGGUAAAUUUCUCCUAAGGCUAAAUAACGGCGAGAGACCGAUAGCGAACAAGUACCGUGAGGGAAAGAUGAAAAGAACUUUGAAAAGAGAGUUAAAUAGUACGUGAAAUUGUUGAAAGGGAAACGAUUGAAGCCAGUCGUACCUGCGGGUAAUCAGCCUUUUGGGCAUGAUUCUGUGGAGCGUGAGGAGUUAAACGCCUUCAUGCCUGCAUAUUCGUGUACUUUGGGUGUACUUGCCUGUGUGGUUAGUUAACAUCAAUUUUGGUUAUCAUAAAAUGGCUGGAGGAAUGUAGCUUCGAUUUCGAUUGAAGUGUUAUAGCCUUCGGCAGAUGUGAUGAUCGGGAUUGAGGAUUGCAACGGAUACCCUUCGGGGCUACCUGUCUGAUCUCUGAUCGUUGCUCUGGUGCCGAAAGCGUGCUUACGGUUAUCAAAGUCGAUGGUUAAUAGGUUAGAACGGGUUAAAUUCGUUAAGGAUGUUGACGUA
RNAcentral lists this ribosomal RNA (745 nucleotides) under uncultured fungus. RNAcentral describes it as "eukaryotic LSU rRNA". It matches the Rfam family "Eukaryotic large subunit ribosomal RNA", at positions 38 to 633 of the family's 3401-position model. Lineage: Eukaryota; Fungi. The record is from RNAcentral.